This 422-nucleotide ribosomal RNA is filed under the name uncultured archaeon. RNAcentral's name for it is "partial 16S ribosomal RNA". It matches the Rfam family "Archaeal small subunit ribosomal RNA", at positions 323 to 746 of the family's 1478-position model. The record is from RNAcentral.
CGGGGGGCUGCUCCAGGCGAGAAAACUUUGCAAUGUGCGAAAGCACGACAAGGUUAAUCCGAGUGGUUUCUGCUAAAGGAACCUUUUGACAGUCCUAGAAACACUGUUGAAUAAGGGGUGGGCAAGUUCUGGUGUCAGCCGCCGCGGUAAAACCAGCACCUCAAGUGGUCAGGAUGAUUAUUGGGCCUAAAGCAUCCGUAGCCGGCUCUGUAAGUUUUCGGUUAAAUCUGUACGCUCAACGUACAGGCUGCCGGGAAUACUGCAGAGCUAGGGAGUGGGAGAGGUAGACGGUACUCGGUAGGAAGGGGUAAAAUCCUUUGAUCUAUUGAUGACCACCUGUGGCGAAGGCGGUCUACCAGAACACGUCCGACGGUGAGGGAUGAAAGCUGGGGGAGCAAACCGGAUUAGAUACCCGUGUAGUC